AGCCCGCUAACAAUUAAACUUCCCUCUUCUUGUAAUGUUCUCAUCCUAGAUCUCUCUCUCUCUCUCAUCUUAUCCUUGCGACCUUGCCUACUCCAAUGAGAGUUACCGGACGGGAUGUUCCUCUCCAGGAAGUUUGGGUUUCUGUUAGAUCUGGAGUAGGACUCGGUUCACACAUCUCUAUUCACCGCAGCUCUGCCUCUCUCUCUCUCUAUACAUGCCGACGUCCAUUCUGCGUUAUCUGUAGCAGCGCUCCGACAUCAUUUUCAGAUAUGUGGCAGGGCUCUCUCUAUUAGAGUUGGAUCUCGAGAUACUUCAUAUUGUGUUCAGAUCUAUGGGUUUGUGAUUAUACAGUUUCUAUGCCGUCGAAACCCAUCCCAUCUUGAACUAUUCCCGAUUGAGCAGUCCGGUGCUUUCUCCAACUCUCUCUUACUCUUUUAGGUUUGACUUUUCAAAACUUUGUGCUUGCGGUUCUUUUUAAUUCGGAUUCUGAAGCUUUAUUUAUCUUGUUUGUGGUGAUUUUGUAAUGGUUUUGUUGAAUUUUGCCCAAGACGAAGCAAAAGAAGGAGCCUUUCACCGCUAAAAUUCCAAAGAAGCCCAAGAAGAAGGUAGAAAGGAACUGGAAUUAAAUAUCAAGGAUGAAUCUGAUGAGUUCAGAUUACCAACUGACCAGGAACUUGAACAAGAGGCGCAUCAACCUCCUGAUCUUUCACACCUUCAGGGGAGGUUAAAAGAGAUGGUGGUGGAUGGAAGCACAGUUAACCUUUGGAUUAUGGGACACUGCAGGUAAGUAAUUGCUCUAUGUGGGUGCUUGGUUUCUACUAGUCUGCUAUUUUACCAUGGUGAAGAUUAUCAAGGUCAUAUUACUUAUUGAAGUAACUGUCCUACAUAACACAAAAUGACUAAUAAUAUAGACUGGAUAACAAAAACUGUGUUAUUCCUAAGAAAAUGUUCUUUUAAAAGACUUCAUGCCAUCAUGUUUUCACUUUCUGUCUGGAUUAUUAAUUUGGUGGAUUUUGCAUAAAAGAUGGUUUGGAUUGAUAAUAUGUUAGAAUAAAUACCAUGAACCUUCACAUAUGUGCAAUAUCCAUAUGCUUAAUCUGUAAUUAUAUGAUUGGGAGAAAAUUGAGCGCUUGUUACUAAGUUUGGGAUGUUCUAACUUGCUUCGUUACUAUGUUUCAGGCUGGUCUUAUAAGCGCUUAUAUCAUUAAAACACUCUACUUUAGAAGGCAUUCUACAGAUGGUGAAGUUGCUCUCAUGAUGCUUAUGGCUUAUUUGUCAUACAUGUUGGCUGAGGUACCCUAAAACAGAAUAUGGAUAACUACAACUACUUGGACCUUAAUUAUGAAGGUUUUAAGUGAAUGAAGAAGAUUAUUACAAAGGAACUGAUUUAUGACUUAAUAAAUUUGUUUGUUUGCAGCUUUUCACUUAUCUUUUUCAUUUGCUUUUGUGCAUGUUCCAAUCUUUGUGGGGUGUUGUGAUUGUGACACAUUCUGGUUUACUGACUUUACUGUGUAGAGUUGUCAUAAGCAUGGAGUAAUGUUGAUACUUUACUCCAUAAGCGAGUUUAGUAAACUUUAUGCAUCCACAGGAAGUAUGAUUGCAUGGCCUAUCAAGUACAUCAAAGUGAAUUAGCCAUUUCGGAGGUAAAAGUUGGCAUCAAGCAUAAAUACGAAGAUGUUUAAAAGGCCACAAGAUGGUUCACUAUAUAUUUAUCUCGUGCAAUUAACAGAGACAAUGGAAAUCUAAGAUGCUCUCUGUUAAUCUAGAAUGUUUUAGAUUUUAGCAUGGUGAUGAUAUGUUGGUUUAGUUAAGUUGUUUUUGUACAAUACUCAAUUGUUGUUGGCAUAUAAUUUACAUUUUCUAAUUUGCA
Molecule: RNA transcript, 1870 nt
Organism: Rosa rugosa (rugosa rose)
Lineage: Eukaryota; Viridiplantae; Streptophyta; Magnoliopsida; Rosales; Rosaceae
Gene name: sodium/hydrogen exchanger 2-like
Exons: 6
Source: RefSeq, a predicted model, not a curated record